Molecule: ribosomal RNA, 586 nt
Filed under: uncultured bacterium
Lineage: Bacteria
Description: partial 16S ribosomal RNA
Rfam family: Bacterial small subunit ribosomal RNA
Source: RNAcentral
UGGGGAAUUUUGGACAAUGGGCGAAAGCCUGAUCCAGCAAUGCCGCGUGUGUGAAGAAGGCCUUCGGGUUGUAAAGCACUUUUGUCCGGAAAGAAAUCCUUGGCUCUAAUACAGCCGGGGGAUGACGGUACCGGAAGAAUAAGCACCGGCUAACUACGUGCCAGCAGCCGCGGUAAUACGUAGGGUGCAAGCGUUAAUCGGAAUUACUGGGCGUAAAGCGUGCGCAGGCGGUUUGCUAAGACCGAUGUGAAAUCCCCGGGCUCAACCUGGGAACUGCAUUGGUGACUGGCAGGCUAGAGUAUGGCAGAGGGGGGUAGAAUUCCACGUGUAGCAGUGAAAUGCGUAGAGAUGUGGAGGAAUACCGAUGGCGAAGGCAGCCCCCUGGGCCAAUACUGACGCUCAUGCACGAAAGCGUGGGGAGCAAACAGGAUUAGAUACCCUGGUAGUCCACGCCCUAAAACGAUGUCAACUAGUUGUUGGGGAUUCAUUUCCUUAGUAACGUAGCUAACGCGUGAAGUUGACCGCCUGGGGAGUACGGUCGCAAGAUUAAAACUCAAAUGAAUUGACGGGGUCAUAGCUGUUUCCU